CUUAGUUACCUUCAGGGUCGACUGGCACAGGAGUAGUGAAGCACAACUGGCUCCUUGCCCUUCUGCAAGGUGAAGAUGAGGUCUCUUAGCAAUAAAUUCUCCUUUAGAUGCUUGCAGCAUCAUAAGAUGCUCAGAGGGAAGAAGGCUUUUCUCAUAAAUGAAGACUGUAAUGGAUUUGUAUGAAGAAAAUGGUGCAAUUUAGUCUGCAAGAAUUCAGUGCACUGUUCAGUGUUCCUGUUCCUGCACUGGUUCCGAAUUCCAAGUUCAGUUUUAUCAGUAAGAGUUACAUGCUUAACUCGAAUGAGAUCCAAAGGUCUAGAAAAGCACAGAAUAAUUUUCAGUGAAGCCUGGAAGUAUCAUUUUACUUAUCAGUGCUUCUAUCUACAGGUUUUUCACUGAUCUACAAGAUCCUAAUGUUAUUUAAUGCUCUACCUUUACAGCUUGCAAAAUUUACUUUUACUUCUUAAUUUUUUUUCAGAUCAAAAAUCCCCUUACAUUCAUUGAUGUUGCUUCAUUCCUUAGAAUUAUUUAAUGCUUCCUUCAUGCAUAUGGAUUACACCUCACCAACAAAACCCUGCAGACUUAGAACAUGACAAAUGAGCAGUACAGAACGUGGAAAAGUUAGCAGCUGCUGCUGAGGGGAAAGUACCAGCUUUGUAUCAAGGACGAAAGCUGUUCCUCCCUCCAGAAGCCACAAGUACCAUGAAUCUGCUGAGAGUGCUUUGCAAUUUACAGAUAACUUCCUGGCAACGAGAUUUCUCUUCCUCAGAGCUAAAAGAGAAGCAAAGUCUGGCUGCAGCUGAAGAACUGAACAACUCUGGAACCAGAGAACAAAAUACAGAGAC
Long non-coding RNA from Cinclus cinclus, 845 nucleotides. RefSeq lists it as uncharacterized. Lineage: Eukaryota; Metazoa; Chordata; Aves; Passeriformes; Cinclidae. The transcript is spliced from 3 exons. The record is from RefSeq and is a predicted model, not a curated record.